RNAcentral lists this ribosomal RNA (253 nucleotides) under uncultured bacterium. Its description in RNAcentral is "partial 16S ribosomal RNA". It matches the Rfam family "Bacterial small subunit ribosomal RNA", at positions 524 to 776 of the family's 1533-position model. The record is from RNAcentral.
UACGGGGGGGGCAAGCGUUGGGCGGAAUUACGGGGCGGAAAGGGCUCGUAGGCGGCCAACUAAGUCCGACGUGAAAUCCCUGGGCUCAACCCAGGAACUGCGUCCGAUACUGGUUGGCUUGAAUCCGGGAGAGGGAUGCGGAAUUCCAGGUGUAGCGGUGAAAUGCGUAGAUAUCUGGAGGAACACCGGUGGCGAAGGCGGCAUCCUGGACCGGCAUUGACGCUGAGGCGCGAAAGCGUGGGGAGCAAACAGG